AGUUUUUUACCUUGGCCGGAAGGUCUGGGUAAUCUUUUGAAAAUUUUUCGUGCUGGGGAUAGAGCAUUAUAAUUAUUGUUCUUCAACGAGGAAUUCCUAGUAAGCGCAAGUCAUCACCUUUCGUUGAUUACGUCCCUGCCCUUUGUACACACCUCCCGUCGCUACUACCGAUUGAAUGGGUUAGAAGGCUUUCGG
This 195-nucleotide ribosomal RNA is filed under the name uncultured fungus. Its description in RNAcentral is "partial 18S ribosomal RNA". It matches the Rfam family "Eukaryotic small subunit ribosomal RNA", at positions 1518 to 1713 of the family's 1831-position model. The record is from RNAcentral. Lineage: Eukaryota; Fungi.